AGUGAACGCUGGCGGUAGGCCUAACACAUGCAAGUCGAACGGCAGCACAGUAAGAGCUUGCUCUUACGGGUGGCGAGUGGCGGACGGGUGAGGAAUACAUCGGAAUCUACUUUUUCGUGGGGGAUAACGUAGGGAAACUUACGCUAAUACCGCAUACGACCUACGGGUGAAAGCAGGGGAUCUUCGGACCUUGCGCGAUUGAAUGAGCCGAUGUAGGAUUAGCUAGUUGGCGGGGUAAAGGCCCACCAAGGCGACGAUCCGUAGCUGGCCUGAGAGGAUGAUCAGCCACACUGGAACUGAGACACGGUCCAGACUCCUACGGGAGGCAGCAGUGGGGAAUAUUGGACAAUGGGCGCAAGCCUGAUCCAGCCAUACCGCGUGGAUGAAGAAGGCCUUCGGGUUGUAAAGCCCUUUUGUUGGGAAAGAAAAGCAGCAGGUUAAUACCCCGCUGUUCUGACGGUACCCAAAGAAUAAGCACCGGCUAACUUCGUG
This 492-nucleotide ribosomal RNA is filed under the name uncultured bacterium. RNAcentral's name for it is "partial 16S ribosomal RNA". It matches the Rfam family "Bacterial small subunit ribosomal RNA", at positions 29 to 507 of the family's 1533-position model. The record is from RNAcentral.